Molecule: ribosomal RNA, 473 nt
Filed under: Proteus mirabilis
Lineage: Bacteria; Pseudomonadati; Pseudomonadota; Gammaproteobacteria; Enterobacterales; Morganellaceae
Description: partial 23S ribosomal RNA
Rfam family: Bacterial large subunit ribosomal RNA
Source: RNAcentral
AACCCGGUGAUCUAUCCAUGGGCAGGUUGAAGGUUGGGUAACACUAACUGGAGGACCGAACCGACUAAUGUUGAAAAAUUAGCGGAUGACUUGUGGAUGGGGGUGAAAGGCCAAUCAAACCGGGAGAUAGCUGGUUCUCCCCGAAAGCUAUUUAGGUAGCGCCUCGUGAACUCAUCUUCGGGGGUAGAGCACUGUUUCGACUAGGGGGUCAUCCCGACUUACCAACUCGAUGCAAACUGCGAAUACCGAAGAAUGUUAUCACGGGAGACACACGGCGGGUGCUAACGUCCGUCGUGAAGAGGGAAACAACCCAGACCGCCAGCUAAGGUCCCAAAGUCAUGGUUAAGUGGGAAACGAAGUGGGAAGGCUCAGACAGCCAGGAUGUUGGCUUAGAAGCAGCCAUCAUUUAAAGAAAGCGUAAUAGCUCACUGGUCGAGUCGGCCCGCGCGGAAGAUGUAACGGGGCUAAACCAU